This is a long non-coding RNA of Galeopterus variegatus (Sunda flying lemur), 1162 nucleotides long. RefSeq lists it as uncharacterized. The record is from RefSeq and is a predicted model, not a curated record. NCBI's taxonomy places the organism in Eukaryota, Metazoa, Chordata, Mammalia, Dermoptera, Cynocephalidae. The transcript is spliced from 2 exons.
AAUUUUUCAGCUCUAUGAUAAUCUUAUGGGACUACUGUUGUAUAUGCUGCCCAUUGUUGACUGAAACAUUGUCGUGCAGCACGUAACUGUUUCUUAAGCAAACGUAUGGCCCAACCAGUAUUUUGGAAUAGUGUAUAUAGAAUGGGUUGGAGUAGAAAGAGACUUUAUUUGAAAAGUCCGAAGGCCAAAAGACUAAGAGGGCCUGAACAAUAGGAGGGGACAAAACCAAGAGGAGUUGGCAACUAAUUGGAUGUGGGGAUUAAGGAAAAGGUAGGCAUCAAAGAUUACCUCCAGGUUUGUUUGAAGGUGAAAGAAUGGCAGGAUUCUGAUGCCAUCACAGGAUAUACAGGUUUCAAUCAAACUAACCCCAGAAGAGCCACACAUAUUUGAAAAGUAUUUUGUCUCACAUUUUUACCUAUUACACAGUUUUUAGUAAUUUAGAAUUUAAGCCAGUAGUAAGGCCACUGUACUUCUAUCAACACAGUGAGGUUGGGCACAUACAGGAGGUAAGAUGUUCAAUCCCAUUUAGAGAUGCUGAGUUUGAGGUGCUGCCAGAACAUUCAGAUGAAGAUAAGACAAGACUGUCAGAAAUGCAGGAUAGGAAACAUCUCCAUUUAGAUGUUUAUUCUUUCUAUCUAAACGUCCAUCCAGUCCUCAAUGUCUGCAAUUCUCUGUGAUUAUAAUCUAUCCUAAUCCUACAUUUCCUAAUGGUCACAAAUGAAGGGACCACAGUUGACAGAUGUACAGUGACACCACUAUUGGCCUAAAUUCUAAUAAAAACUGAAAUAAGCAAAUCUGUGAGGCAAAUAAAAAGCUUCUCAAAUAUGUGUGGCUUUUUGGGGGGUUAACUUGAUUGAGAUCUGUAUUAAUUUCUUACAGCUGUUGUAACAAAUUACCACAAAUUUGGUGGCUUAAAACCACACACAUUUAUUCUUACAGUUCUGAAGGCCAGAGUCUAAAAUGAGUUUCAGUCAGCUAAAGUUCUGGCAGGGCCAUGCUCCCCUGGAGGUUUCCAGGAUGCAUCCCAUGUUCAGUGUCACCUGAAUAAGCCGUAGCCACAGAGGUCUCUGUUUUAGUUGAAUGGGAAUUUGCACUCAAUGGUUUCUUUUAUGGUUUCUACCUUAUGGUUUUAACUCUUUUUUUUCAAUAAUAGCUUUAUUGA